RNAcentral lists this ribosomal RNA (281 nucleotides) under uncultured bacterium. RNAcentral describes it as "partial 16S ribosomal RNA". It matches the Rfam family "Bacterial small subunit ribosomal RNA", at positions 46 to 339 of the family's 1533-position model. The record is from RNAcentral.
AGGCUUAACACGUGCAAGUCGAGCGCCUAUCUUCGGGUAGGAGCGGCGAACGGGUGAGUAACACGUAGGUCACGUACCCUAUGGUGGGGAAUACCCCGAGGAAACUCGGAUCAAUGCCCCAUAUGCCCGCAAGGGUGAAAGCGCUUCGGCGCGCCAAAGGAUCGGCCUGCGGCCCAUUAUUUAAUCCUAGUUGGUGAGGUAACGGCUCACCAAGGGUACGAUGGGUAGCUGGUCUGAGAGGACGAUCAGCCACACUGGAACUGAGACACGGUCCAGACUCC